GGUCCAGACUCCUACGGGAGGCAGCAGUGGGGAAUAUUGCACAAUGGGGGAAACCCUGAUGCAGCGACGCCGCGUGAGUGAAGAAGUAUUUCGGUAUGUAAAGCUCUAUCAGCAGGGAAGAAAAUGACGGUACCUGACUAAGAAGCCCCGGCUAACUACGUGCCAGCAGCCGCGGUAAUACGUAGGGGGCAAGCGUUAUCCGGAUUUACUGGGCGUGAAGGGGGCGCAGGCGGCGCGCCAAGCCCGAUGUGAAAGCCCGGGGCUCAACCCCGGGACUGCAUUGGGAACUGGCGUGCUGGAGUGCCGGAGGGGCAGGCGGAAUUCCUGGUGUAGCGGUGAAAUGCGUAGAUAUCAGGAGGAACACCGGUGGCGAAGGCGGCCUGCUGGACGGAUACUGACGCUGAGGCCCGAAAGCGUGGGGAGCGAACAGGAUUAGAUACCCCGGUAAG
Molecule: ribosomal RNA, 449 nt
Filed under: uncultured bacterium
Lineage: Bacteria
Description: bacterial SSU rRNA
Rfam family: Bacterial small subunit ribosomal RNA
Source: RNAcentral